RNAcentral lists this long non-coding RNA (1041 nucleotides) under Olea europaea subsp. europaea. Lineage: Eukaryota; Viridiplantae; Streptophyta; Magnoliopsida; Lamiales; Oleaceae. The record is from RNAcentral.
UCCGUACACAUUCUACUCGUUUCCAAAACCUCACAUCUUCAUUUCAGCCUUCACAAUUUACAGACAAAAAUUAUUAAAAUUGGGUUUGUCUACAUGUGCAUCGGGGUUGACGUACAGAUCCCCUCACAAGAGGAGGGACUUUAUUCGACAUUGUUCCCCUCUCUUGUGAAGGGGUCAGUACAACAAAUAGAAAAAUACAUUAAAAUUUCAGCUACCCAUAGACUUAGCAUUGAUGACAACAAACAGUUUUUUUUUUUUUCCCCAAUUCAACCCUUCAUUUGUGUCCUGGGAGAAAUGGAGGAUUGAUUUUUUCGAUUUUAACUGGAUCUGAUUCAUUUUUCUCGAUCAAAUGCUCAAAUUUUUCAUACUCUAGUAGCGGCAAGGCACGAUGCUUCAAUACUGCAUCGAUCUGUCUCAUUUUAAAGCCUAAACAGUUAGAAACGGGAUAUUUACUCGACAUCUACGUCCAAGGAUCUUCACAGGAAAAUAUCCGCCCUCACGCAGAGAAACAAAUGAAGAGCCUAAACAAGAUUGAAAAAUAAAGAAUAUAGAUCUUCUAAACAAAACUGCAUUCCUUUCCACUGAUUGAUAUCAGAAAAUUGAAAUAAAAAAAGGAACAAAACAGAUAAAAAUCAGGGUUUUGCAACAUAUAAACUCUAAUAUUGCGUACCAAACAUGGACUUAUCGUAGGCUAAGAAUCCAAGAUCAAGCGUCUCGAACACGAAGUACAAAUAUAUCUUCUCUUGAGGACAAAACAAAGGGGCAGAAAACAGAAGCUCCAUUUGGUCUGAACAUCAACUGAUUCUACCUUGCCUCCACAAUACGGGCAAGAUCCUGUCGCUUCUUGUCUACUUAACUCUUUUUCUUGUUCUCCGCAAAUGUAAAGAAAACACAUUCUUUCUUGCUUCUUGCUCUGAUCAGUACGUUUUGUGUUUUCUCGUUUUCUGGUUUGGAUGUGUGUCGGCCAAUCUAUGACUGCUUGUAUAUAAUAGAUAGAUUUUGGUGAUAAGAACUUUAGGUGGAGUUAAUGCUGGAUAAAAU